GAUGAACGCUGGCGGCGUGCCUAAUACAUGCAAGUCGAGCGAACGGACGAGAAGCUUGCGUCUCUGAUGUUAGCGGCGGACGGGUGAGUAACACGUGGAUAACCUACCUAUAAGACUGGGAUAACUUCGGGAAACCGUAGCUAAUACCGGAUAAUAUUUUGAACCGCAUGGUUCAAAAGUGAAAGACGGUCUUGCUGUCACUUAUAGAUGGAUCCGCGCUGCAUUAGCUAGUUGGUAAGGUAACGGCUUACCAAGGCAACGAUGCAUAGCCGACCUGAGAGGGUGAUAGGCCACACUGGAACGGCGCCGCGGUCCAUGCUCCUACGGGAGGCAGCAGUAGGGAAUCUUCCGCAGUGGGCGAAAGCCUGACGGAGCAGCGCCGCGUGAGUGAUGAAGGUCUUCGGAUCGUAAAACUCUGUUAUUAGGGAAGAACAUAUGUGUAAGUAACUGUGCACAUCUUGACGGUACCUAAUCAGAAAGCCCCGGCUAACUACGUG
This 497-nucleotide ribosomal RNA is filed under the name uncultured bacterium. RNAcentral's name for it is "partial 16S ribosomal RNA". It matches the Rfam family "Bacterial small subunit ribosomal RNA", at positions 28 to 507 of the family's 1533-position model. The record is from RNAcentral.